This 124-nucleotide small RNA is filed under the name Marmota monax (woodchuck). The record is from RNAcentral. Lineage: Eukaryota; Metazoa; Chordata; Mammalia; Rodentia; Sciuridae.
GCUGGGUGUGGUGGUGCACACAUGCAAUCCCAGCGACUUGGGAGGCUGAGGCAGGAGAAUCACAAGUUCAAGGCCAGACUCAACAUCUUGAGGCCCUAAGUAACUUAGUGAGACCCUGUCUCAA